UCCUCCCCCUUCCCCCGAUCCCGACCCCCGAUCGGAGCAACGCCGCCGGCGUGCACCCAACAUUCCCCACCGCCAGAAAAUAGAGAACUGGGUUUUUUCCGUCAAAAAAUAGAGAACAGGGGUUUCCCUCCGUCGGGCCACCGCGGAGUGGUCGACAGGGGACUAGUUUGUCUUGGCGCCGGAGACGGGAGCAUCGCCGGCCACCUGAGUGGAGGAGGGAGGCGCACACAUCGGAUAGGGGGUUGAACUCCAGUAUUCUCUUGCGGCGAGGCCGAACAGCAGAAGCGGAGGGAGUCACUGGCCGGCGGCCGCUCCGCUAAUUCGCGAUGAAAUAAAAUCUGGCAAGAGUGAUAAGGAGAUAUACAAAAAAUUAGAAGACGACUUUGGAGAAACAGUUCUAUAUGCCCCUAAAUUUGAUAUUCAAACUGCCGCUAUAUGGUUAUCGCCGGUCAUUGUGGGUGGGGUUGCAGCUGGUGUCUGGGCUUACCAAAAGCAUAGGCAAAGGACUAACGUUCACAUUAUGGCUCUGAACCUUGUCCGAGGGGUUCCCCUGACUCCAAGGGAGAAGGAGACGAUGAUUGACAUCCUUACACCGCCUCUUCUAACUAGGAGAUGGUGGUGGCCUGUCAAGUGAUGUUCAUGUCCUGCGAUGAAACAUAUAGUACUAAUUUGCAGUGUUAGCAUUAUAUGGAUGAUCAGGAUGGCUGAAUUUGGCGCAUGGCUUUGGUCUACAUCUCACAUCCUUGAAGCUUCGGCUACAAAUGUUUGGUUUAACCAGAUGCUUGGGAGGCCUUUCGCAGAUGCUGCAGUUCGCAUGCAGGUUGUGGGGUAUUGGAAGUUUAAAGAACAGCCUGCUGUUGAAGUGUAGGGGUAGUUGCUUACUUCCCAGGUGUGUUGUUGAACUGAUAAACAUGUAUCGCCGCUACUGAUGCUCAUGUAGCAGAACUUUGUCCCCAAAAUAAGCUACUCGUACGACUUCUUAUUUCCUCUGA
This is a long non-coding RNA of Triticum dicoccoides, 992 nucleotides long. RefSeq lists it as uncharacterized. The record is from RefSeq and is a predicted model, not a curated record. The transcript is spliced from 3 exons. Lineage: Eukaryota; Viridiplantae; Streptophyta; Magnoliopsida; Poales; Poaceae.